This 2930-nucleotide ribosomal RNA is filed under the name Escherichia coli. RNAcentral's name for it is "23S ribosomal RNA". It matches the Rfam family "Bacterial large subunit ribosomal RNA". Lineage: Bacteria; Pseudomonadati; Pseudomonadota; Gammaproteobacteria; Enterobacterales; Enterobacteriaceae. The record is from RNAcentral.
GGGUUGUGAGGUUAAGCGACUAAGCGUACACGGUGGAUGCCCUGGCAGUCAGAGGCGAUGAAGGACGUGCUAAUCUGCGAUAAGCGUCGGUAAGGUGAUAUGAACCGUUAUAACCGGCGAUUUCCGAAUGGGGAAACCCAGUGUGUUUCGACACACUAUCAUUAACUGAAUCCAUAGGUUAAUGAGGCGAACCGGGGGAACUGAAACAUCUAAGUACCCCGAGGAAAAGAAAUCAACCGAGAUUCCCCCAGUAGCGGCGAGCGAACGGGGAGGAGCCCAGAGCCUGAAUCAGUGUGUGUGUUAGUGGAAGCGUCUGGAAAGGCGCGCGAUACAGGGUGACAGCCCCGUACACAAAAAUGCACAUAUUGUGAGCUCGAUGAGUAGGGCGGGACACGUGGUAUCCUGUCUGAAUAUGGGGGGACCAUCCUCCAAGGCUAAAUACUCCUGACUGACCGAUAGUGAACCAGUACCGUGAGGGAAAGGCGAAAAGAACCCCGGCGAGGGGAGUGAAAAAGAACCUGAAACCGUGUACGUACAAGCAGUGGGAGCACGCUUAGGCGUGUGACUGCGUACCUUUUGUAUAAUGGGUCAGCGACUUAUAUUCUGUAGCAAGGUUAACCGAAUAGGGGAGCCGAAGGGAAACCGAGUCUUAACUGGGCGUUAAGUUGCAGGGUAUAGACCCGAAACCCGGUGAUCUAGCCAUGGGCAGGUUGAAGGUUGGGUAACACUAACUGGAGGACCGAACCGACUAAUGUUGAAAAAUUAGCGGAUGACUUGUGGCUGGGGGUGAAAGGCCAAUCAAACCGGGAGAUAGCUGGUUCUCCCCGAAAGCUAUUUAGGUAGCGCCUCGUGAAUUCAUCUCCGGGGGUAGAGCACUGUUUCGGCAAGGGGGUCAUCCCGACUUACCAACCCGAUGCAAACUGCGAAUACCGGAGAAUGUUAUCACGGGAGACACACGGCGGGUGCUAACGUCCGUCGUGAAGAGGGAAACAACCCAGACCGCCAGCUAAGGUCCCAAAGUCAUGGUUAAGUGGGAAACGAUGUGGGAAGGCCCAGACAGCCAGGAUGUUGGCUUAGAAGCAGCCAUCAUUUAAAGAAAGCGUAAUAGCUCACUGGUCGAGUCGGCCUGCGCGGAAGAUGUAACGGGGCUAAACCAUGCACCGAAGCUGCGGCAGCGACGCUUAUGCGUUGUUGGGUAGGGGAGCGUUCUGUAAGCCUGCGAAGGUGUGCUGUGAGGCAUGCUGGAGGUAUCAGAAGUGCGAAUGCUGACAUAAGUAACGAUAAAGCGGGUGAAAAGCCCGCUCGCCGGAAGACCAAGGGUUCCUGUCCAACGUUAAUCGGGGCAGGGUGAGUCGACCCCUAAGGCGAGGCCGAAAGGCGUAGUCGAUGGGAAACAGGUUAAUAUUCCUGUACUUGGUGUUACUGCGAAGGGGGGACGGAGAAGGCUAUGUUGGCCGGGCGACGGUUGUCCCGGUUUAAGCGUGUAGGCUGGUUUUCCAGGCAAAUCCGGAAAAUCAAGGCUGAGGCGUGAUGACGAGGCACUACGGUGCUGAAGCAACAAAUGCCCUGCUUCCAGGAAAAGCCUCUAAGCAUCAGGUAACAUCAAAUCGUACCCCAAACCGACACAGGUGGUCAGGUAGAGAAUACCAAGGCGCUUGAGAGAACUCGGGUGAAGGAACUAGGCAAAAUGGUGCCGUAACUUCGGGAGAAGGCACGCUGAUAUGUAGGUGAAGUCCCUUGCGGAUGGAGCUGAAAUCAGUCGAAGAUACCAGCUGGCUGCAACUGUUUAUUAAAAACACAGCACUGUGCAAACACGAAAGUGGACGUAUACGGUGUGACGCCUGCCCGGUGCCGGAAGGUUAAUUGAUGGGGUCAGCGCAAGCGAAGCUCUUGAUCGAAGCCCCGGUAAACGGCGGCCGUAACUAUAACGGUCCUAAGGUAGCGAAAUUCCUUGUCGGGUAAGUUCCGACCUGCACGAAUGGCGUAAUGAUGGCCAGGCUGUCUCCACCCGAGACUCAGUGAAAUUGAACUCGCUGUGAAGAUGCAGUGUACCCGCGGCAAGACGGAAAGACCCCGUGAACCUUUACUAUAGCUUGACACUGAACAUUGAGCCUUGAUGUGUAGGAUAGGUGGGAGGCUUUGAAGUGUGGACGCCAGUCUGCAUGGAGCCGACCUUGAAAUACCACCCUUUAAUGUUUGAUGUUCUAACGUUGACCCGUAAUCCGGGUUGCGGACAGUGUCUGGUGGGUAGUUUGACUGGGGCGGUCUCCUCCUAAAGAGUAACGGAGGAGCACGAAGGUUGGCUAAUCCUGGUCGGACAUCAGGAGGUUAGUGCAAUGGCAUAAGCCAGCUUGACUGCGAGCGUGACGGCGCGAGCAGGUGCGAAAGCAGGUCAUAGUGAUCCGGUGGUUCUGAAUGGAAGGGCCAUCGCUCAACGGAUAAAAGGUACUCCGGGGAUAACAGGCUGAUACCGCCCAAGAGUUCAUAUCGACGGCGGUGUUUGGCACCUCGAUGUCGGCUCAUCACAUCCUGGGGCUGAAGUAGGUCCCAAGGGUAUGGCUGUUCGCCAUUUAAAGUGGUACGCGAGCUGGGUUUAGAACGUCGUGAGACAGUUCGGUCCCUAUCUGCCGUGGGCGCUGGAGAACUGAGGGGGGCUGCUCCUAGUACGAGAGGACCGGAGUGGACGCAUCACUGGUGUUCGGGUUGUCAUGCCAAUGGCACUGCCCGGUAGCUAAAUGCGGAAGAGAUAAGUGCUGAAAGCAUCUAAGCACGAAACUUGCCCCGAGAUGAGUUCUCCCUGACCCUUUAAGGGUCCUGAAGGAACGUUGAAGACGACGACGUUGAUAGGCCGGGUGUGUAAGCGCAGCGAUGCGUUGAGCUAACCGGUACUAAUGAACCGUGAGGCUUAACCUUACAACGCCGAAGCUGUU